This 423-nucleotide ribosomal RNA is filed under the name uncultured bacterium. RNAcentral describes it as "bacterial SSU rRNA". It matches the Rfam family "Bacterial small subunit ribosomal RNA", at positions 355 to 776 of the family's 1533-position model. The record is from RNAcentral.
UGGGGAAUAUUGGACAAUGGGCGCAAGCCUGAUCCAGCCACGCCGCGUGAAGGAUGAAGGUUUUCGGAUCGUAAACUUCUGUUGUCGGGGAAGAAAGGGCGCUGAAGAGGCGCAGAUGACGGUACCCGAUAAGAAAGCACCGGCUAACUCCGUGCCAGCAGCCGCGGUAAUACGGAGGGUGCAAACGUUGCUCGGAAUCACUGGGCGUAAAGCGCUCGUAGGCGGUUUGUCAAGUUAGAUGUGAAAGCCCCGGGCUUAACCUGGGAAGUGCAUUUAAGACUGGCAGGCUGGAGUAUGGGAGGGGGUAGCGGAAUUCCCGGUGUAGAGGUGAAAUUCGUAGAUAUCGGGAGGAACACCUGAGGCGAAGGCGGCUACCUGGACCAUUACUGACGCUGAGGAGCGAAAGCGUGGGGAGCAAACAGG